CGGGUAACGGAGAAUUAGGGUUCGAUUCCGGAGAGGGAGCCUGAGAAACGGCUACCACAUCUACGGAAGGCAGCAGGCGCGCAAAUUGCCCAAUCCUGACACGGGGAGGCAGUGACAAGAAAUAACAACUCUAGGUUUUCUUAGAAGUGUAAUGAGGAUAAUUUACAAACCUUACCGAAUGCAAUUGGAGGGCAAGUCUGGUGCCAGCAGCCGCGGUAAUUCCAGCUCCAAUAGCGUAUAUUAAAGUUGUUGCAGUUUAAAAAGCUCGUAGUUGAAAAUCUGAUUGCUCAGGUCUUCAGCCUUUAGGCGGGGAUACUGACAGUCAUCCGCUUGCAAAUAUAAGUUCGAUCUUCACCGGUUGGCUAUAUGAGCAAGCAAUUUACCUUGAGAAAAACAGAGUGUUCCAGGCAGGUUUGUCCGGAAUGCAUUAGCAUGGAAUAAUAGAACAUGACUGAAG
This 457-nucleotide ribosomal RNA is filed under the name uncultured eukaryote. Its description in RNAcentral is "SSU rRNA". It matches the Rfam family "Eukaryotic small subunit ribosomal RNA", at positions 356 to 833 of the family's 1831-position model. The record is from RNAcentral.